Cricetulus griseus (Chinese hamster) is the source of this 3393-nucleotide non-coding RNA. Lineage: Eukaryota; Metazoa; Chordata; Mammalia; Rodentia; Cricetidae. The record is from RefSeq and is a predicted model, not a curated record.
CGUGGACCUAGCAGCACCCGAAGCUUUGCCCAACGAUACUGGCUGAGAAGGAAGUUUGCCUGCGUGGUGUCUGCCAAUUUGGAGGAAGAAAAGGAGCUGCUGCCUGCAUCUGGGCUUCCUCGCAAGGUACUGACGACACUCAAACCCCCAGCUGGUGGGCCUCAUUUGUGUGUGUACGAUUUUUGUGUGCCCCUUAAUGUGUGGAUUUGGGAAAGAGCCCACAUUCUAAUAGGGAUUGCUUAUAACUUUGAAGAAUGCUAUUCUUAAGGCUUAAAUCUGUACAGUUCUGAACUUGUUGCUUUUAGAUCCUUUUCUCCCGUUGGGUGUAAGCUGAAAUUUGUGUUUGUCACAGGUGCUAGGGCUUUGGGCUGCUGUUCUAAUUAUUUAUUUCAAAUUUAGCAGGAAUGCAGAGCGCGUCACCUUGUGAGACUGGAGACUGAUGGAGUCAGGAUAAUGUCAAAGUGCUUACAGUGCAGGUAGUGAUAUGCACAUCUACUGCAGUGCAGGCACUUGUGGCAUUAUGGUGACAGCCGCCUCGCUCGGGAGCCACGGUGGGCGCGGAGUGACAGCGAGGGCCGCCUGCUGGUGCUGAGUGCUUUUUGUUCUAAGGUGCAUCUAGUGCAGAUAGUGAAGUAGACUAGCAUCUACUGCCCUAAGUGCUCCUUCUGGCAUAAGAAGUUAUGUCGUCACCUAAUGGAGUCGAGCAAGCGUGUAGGGGUCUCUUAAUGGUCUCUGUCUGCAGCCCUCUGUUAGUUUUGCAUACUUGCACUACAAGAAGAAUGCAGUUGUGCAAAUCUAUGCAAAACUGAUGGUGGCCUGCUAUUAACUUCAAGUGUUGUGUUUUCCUUUUCCUUUUUGACUAAUGCUGUGCUUUGGUUGUGUCGAUUAGAGUCUGCGUGGUGUGUGUGACAGACAGCUUCUGUGGCACUAAAGUGCUUAUAGUGCAGGUAGUGUCCACUCAUCUACUGCAUUACGAGCACUUCCAGUGCUGCCAGCUGGAGAGCCCCAGCCUCGCUCGCCCGCUUGCCCGCUCGCCCUUCACCCACUCAAACGGUCCUGGUACUGAGCACUGGUCUAUGGUUAGUUUUGCAGGUUUGCAUCCAGCUGUAUAAUACUCUGCUGUGCAAAUCCAUGCAAAACUGACUGUGGUGGUGAAAAGUCUGUAGAACAGUGAGGGAAAAUCAAACCCCUUUCUACACAGGCUGGGAUUUGUUGCAAUGCUGUGUUUCUCGAUGGUAUUGCACUUGUCCCGGCCUGUUGAGUUUGGUGGGGAUUGUGACCAGAAGAUGUGAAAAUUAAAUAUUGCUGAAGAUGCCAUGCCGAUUUCCAUUGUAAAAAUGUUAUGGUGUACGAACUCGUUGUAACUUUUAUUGCUUUCACUAGUGUAACACAAGUUUUUUUAUUGAAAUUAGGUUUUUAGUUUUACUAAACCAUUUCACUUGGGGUUUGCAUGUCUGGUUUACAGGUUUUUUGUGUGUGGGCUUAGAGACCUACAGGUAUUCUGGUAUGUUGUUACAGUGGUGCCCUACUCUUACUUGGAACCUAGAGGGUCCAGGUUUAUUUUACUCAAACCCUUAUUCAAUUGACAGGAGUUAACAAAACUAGUCUUUGAAUCACUGUGUAGAGAGGGUUUUUCUAUUAAAGUGUGACAUUUAGGAUGAGGUUUUUCUGGUGCUACUGUUGCUGAUGCGUGAGAUUGGUGGCAGCAGCUAACAGGUGGUUAGCUCUGUGUUGCUGGUGUGCAUGCCGUGUAAGUAGGACCUUCAAACUGUUAGCAUGUGCUGCCUGAAAAAGCAAAGAUGACGAACAAGGUGCACUGGAAUUCAUAUCAGAAAAUGUUUGCAGUUAGAGUUCCUGUGUCUAGAAUUGGGCAGCACUGUUGGUUCCAGGCUGUGUGAAAAGAUGCCAUUGGAAUGAAACCUAAGAAUAGUCAAAUGAAUAAGGGUGAGCCGUUAAACCAGAUCAGAGCUGAUAGUAUUUAGGCAAGUGUAUAACCCUGAAAAAAGGAUUGUCUUAAUUUGAAAUUUUCAUAGCCUUUGCUUUAGACCGCCCAAAGUUAAGUUUGCUGUCUCUUGUGUUCUGCUUUUUAAAAGAAAUGUAAGAAGCUUAGUCUUGGAUUCCUGAGCAGCAAGGUAAGGACUUUGCAUAUGUGGAGUUGACUGUAAGAUACCAGGUUCAGGAUCAUCAGAAUUGUACAAUGAUUAAGAGUUCUUACACCUUAGGAGUGAAUUAAAGUUGCUUUAGGUGAUUACUUAAACAUUGUUUAACAUGGCAAGUCCUAUAAUAAUAUCAACAUGAUUCAUGUACUUCUAUAUAAAGGGGUUCUAUCAAUUGUGUAUUCUUAGUGUCAUUGGAUGGCAUUUGUGUUUAGAAUGUUGUUGACUUGAAUUGAGAUUUCAUUCUAGUAAGGAAAGUGAUAAAUACAUUUCCUUAUGGGCCUCACAGUAAAGCAGAGUUUUUUCCAAGAUUCUUUUCAGUUUUCACUUAAAAAGUUUGGCUCCACACUAAGAACAUCAAGCAGAUCUAUAAAUUUUGUUUCAACAGAUGGGGAGACCACUUGAUGUCUUGUUUCUAAUUUAAAAACAGAUUAGGUCUUUACACUUUGAUGUUGGUGACUUAGGCCUGAAGGCUUUUUCAGGAAAGGAGACUUACUGUUUUCUUGUAUGUUGAAUGUAAAUAGUUCUUAAGUUUGUCCUAUACUAGGAAGGAGGCACUAUUAAGACUUUACAAAGUGUUGAUUUCACUAAAAGCCCUUGAGAUGUUCGUUUUCACAGGCAAGCCUAAGCACAGAAAACCAACCAGCUGGACUUUUCCUUCCCUGUGCGUGGUUUGAAGAGUCAGUGCUACGUAAUUCCUGACACAGUGCAACCUGCAGCUGCUGGGAGAGAGAACGAUUCAGGGUUACUAAGUCUGUUGUAUGUAUAUGGACUUCUGUUCUGUAACUGACACUAUGUGGUUGUCUGUCCUCAGAGCAUUAGUAGGUGAGUCAGGCUAAGCAGUGGAGAAACUCAGUGGGCAGGGUCCAUUCUGGGUGUCUUAAUGACUGCCAGUGAGCCCCCCGUCACCUUGUAUAGAGGUGUCUGCUUUGUCACAAUUCUGGGCUUUUCUGUUUGGGUAAGCAGUUUAUAUCAUAUUGCUAAUUUAUAAAGGAUCUGCUCAGAAAGUGCCCUGUGAAUUUUAAGGCAUGGAAGAUUGCUGCAGGGUUUCAGGGUCGUCGUCCCCCCCCCACACACACCCCAUUAUCUGACAUGGGCAGAGCCUUCAGAGGUACAGGGCUAGCAUGGUGACAAACUUAGUGUUGUUCAGUGGUGCAUUUAAUCCUAAUAAAUGCUACCUUUUAAACUUCAUGUACAUAAUGAGUAUGUUGAAAUAAAGUUCACUUGUGGCACUGGU